Vespa mandarinia (Asian giant hornet) is the source of this 1442-nucleotide long non-coding RNA. NCBI's taxonomy places the organism in Eukaryota, Metazoa, Arthropoda, Insecta, Hymenoptera, Vespidae. The record is from RefSeq and is a predicted model, not a curated record.
AGAGAAAGACGAAGCAUUGAGGGAAUUGAGCCAAGAUAUACCAGCUGCGACUCUUUCGAGAUAUAUAUUUUAUUGUCUUUAUAAAAAGCUUAGAAAGUCGUUCGUUCUCGUUACGUACCAUAGAUGGCUCGAUCGUUUAUCGAUCGGUUCAUAAAAAAAAAAAAAAAAAAAAAAAAAAAAAAGAAGAAAUGUAAUAACUCAUUAUAUCGCUUAUUCCGAAAGUUAACGUAUCGAUAAAAAAGAAUACGAGUGAUUUUUAUAUCGACCAUUUAAUGUUUCCCACGCGUCGGAGAGAAGAUAUAUAGAGGAUAUACUCGCAAAAGGAAAAGAACCGAAUUGAAAUUCGUGCCGAUUCAUUCAUUUUCACCCUAGUGUGUGUGUGUGCGCGUACGCGUGUACACGUAAAUACGAGGUCACGUGCUUGACGGAAAUGGACGUACGAAAGGAAAUUGCGAUUUUCAAAAAGGUAAAGACCAUUCGCGUAGGAGAGGAUCUUUUCUUCGUUUCUAUGCUUGUAUCUAUAUAGAAAGGAAGGCCGAACAGGUAGCAGGUGCGCGAGUUCGAUGCACAGACUCGGCGCCGCUCUUCGUCGGCUCGCCGUGUGCGAGGGAGUUCUGACUGGCCUGUGCGGUCCUUCCACCACUACUAUCACUACCACUACUACCGUCAGUACCACUACUACCACGACGACGACGUCGACGACGACUGUUACCAAUAUACUACCACACCAUCGGACUACCGUCUAUCGGCGACACAAGGAUGCGGCACUUCCAGCAGUGGCUGGACACGAGAUCGAGAAGAAGAAAAAGAAGAAGAAAAGGAGGAGGAGGAGAAAGAGGAGGAGGAGUGUCGACUGUGUCGGCUCUACGAAACGCGACGCGCCGUAUCGACUCUCGUAGUAGGGCACACUCGCGGAGAUCGUUCUAAUAAUAUAACACGGAGAAGAGUCGCUCGGAAACGGAAGUCAGCUGACAGCUGGUAGCCGCGUCACAGGAAGGAAGAAUAAGAAGAAGAAGAAGAGGAAGAAGAAGAUGAAGAAGAAGUAGAAGACGACGACGACGACGACGACGACGACGACGACGACGACGACGACGACGACGUCAACGAAGAAGAAGAAGAAGAAGAAGAAGAAGACUACGUUAACAGUGUACCGUACUAACAAGCGGCACGUGAUUUACGUUAACGGUCGACACGCGACCACGAGCAAAAGAUCUUCUUCUUCUUCUUCUCUUUCCUUCAUAUCCUUUCUUUCUUACCCUCCUUUGUCGAGGUUGCGAAUAUAAAAAUAUUAUCAUUUUUCCGAAAUCAAUCUCCCGACAAAGACGUAUCCAGGGAUAUAUUUUCCAUUAAAUUUCAAUUGUUCGAUACUCUUUCGAUGAACGAUAAAGGAGGAGAAAAAUGUAAUAAAAAAAAAAAAAAAAAUAAAUAAAUAAAAAUAAAAC